UCGAACGGCAGCGCGGGAGCAAUCCUGGCGGCGAGUGGCGAACGGGUGAGUAAUGUAUCGGAACGUAUCCUGUAAUGGGGGAUAACCAGUCGAAAGAUUGGGUAAUACCGCAUACGCACGAGAGUGGAAAGUGGAGGAUCGCAAGACUUCACGUUAUAGGAGCGGCCGAUAUCUGAUUAGCUAGUUGGUGGGGUAAAGGCCUACCAAGGCGACGAUCAGUAGCUGGUCUGAGAGGACGACCAGCCACACUGGGACUGAGACACGGCCCAGACUCCUACGGGAGGCAGCAGUGGGGAAUUUUGGACAAUGGGCGAAAGCCUGAUCCAGCCAUGCCGCGUGCAGGAAGAAGGCCUUCGGGUUGUAAACUGCUUUAGUCUAGGAAAAAGGGAUGCCUGGUUAAUACCUGGGUGUUUUGAUGGUACUGGAAGAAUAAGCACCGGCUAACUACGUGCCAGCAGCCGCGGUAAUACGUAGGGUGCGAGCGUUAAUCGGAAUUACUGGGCGUAAAGCGUGCGCAGGCGGUCUUGUAAGACAGUCGUGAAAUCCCUGGGCUUAACCUAGGAACUGCGAUUGUGACUGCAAGGCUAGAGUGUGUCAGA
This 599-nucleotide ribosomal RNA is filed under the name uncultured bacterium. RNAcentral describes it as "bacterial SSU rRNA". It matches the Rfam family "Bacterial small subunit ribosomal RNA", at positions 62 to 655 of the family's 1533-position model. The record is from RNAcentral.